This 72-nucleotide transfer RNA is filed under the name Schizopora paradoxa. RNAcentral describes it as "tRNA-Asn". It matches the Rfam family "tRNA". From Rfam's summary of the family: Transfer RNA (tRNA) molecules are approximately 80 nucleotides in length. The record is from RNAcentral. Lineage: Eukaryota; Fungi; Basidiomycota; Agaricomycetes; Hymenochaetales; Schizoporaceae.
GGUGUCAUGGCAGAGAGGUAAUGCGGGGUACUGUUAAUACUUUUUUCAGAGGUUCAAUUCCUCUUGAUACCU